GACGAACGCUGGCGGCGUGCUUAACACAUGCAAGUCGUACGGUAAGGCCCUUUCGGGGGUCCACGAGUGGCGAACGGGUGAGUAACACGUGAGUAACCUGCCCACAACUUUGGGAUAACGCUAGGAAACUGGUGCUAAUACUGGAUAUGUGCUCCUGCUGCAUGGUGGGGGUUGGAAAGCUCCGGCGGUUGUGGAUGGACUCGCGGCCUAUCAGCUUGUUGGUGGGGUAGUGGCCUACCAAGGCGGCGACGGGUAGCCGGCCUGAGAGGGUGACCGGCCACAUUGGGACUGAGAUACGGCCCAGACUCCUACGGGAGGCAGCAGUGGGGAAUAUUGCACAAUGGGCGCAAGCCUGAUGCAGCACCGCCGCGUGCGGGAUGACGGCCUUCGGGUUGUAAACCGCUUUCAGCAGGGACGAAGCUUUUUGUGACGGUACCUGCAGAAGAAGCACCGGCUAACUACGUG
This 465-nucleotide ribosomal RNA is filed under the name uncultured bacterium. RNAcentral describes it as "partial 16S ribosomal RNA". It matches the Rfam family "Bacterial small subunit ribosomal RNA", at positions 28 to 507 of the family's 1533-position model. The record is from RNAcentral.